Molecule: ribosomal RNA, 253 nt
Filed under: uncultured bacterium
Lineage: Bacteria
Description: partial 16S ribosomal RNA
Rfam family: Bacterial small subunit ribosomal RNA
Source: RNAcentral
UACAGAGGUCCCAAGCGUUGUUCGGAUUCACUGGGCGUAAAGGGUGCGUAGGUGGUCGGGUAAGUCUGAUGUGAAAUCUUCGAGCUUAACUCGAAAAUGGCAUUGGAUACUAUUCGGCUGGAGGGUUGGAAGGGGGACUGGAAUUCUCGGUGUAGCAGUGAAAUGCGUAGAUAUCGAGAGGAACACCGGUGGCGAAGGCGAGUCCCUGGACAAUCCCUGACACUGAGGCACGAAAGCUAGGGGAGCAAACAGG